GCUCAGAUUGAACGCUGGCGGCAGGCCUACNACAUGCAAGUCGAGCGGUAGCACAGAGAGCUUGCUCUCGGGUGACGAGCGGCGGACGGGUGAGUAAUGUCUGGGAAACUGCCUGAUGGAGGGGGAUAACUACUGGAAACGGUAGCUAAUACCGCAUAAUGUCGCAAGACCAAAGUGGGGGACCUUUGGGCCUCAUGCCAUCAGAUGUGCCCAGAUGGGAUUAGCUAGUAGGUGGGGUAACGGCUCACCUAGGCGACGAUCCCUAGCUGGUCUGAGAGGAUGACCAGCCACACUGGAACUGAGACACGGUCCAGACUCCUACGGGAGGCAGCAGUGGGGAAUAUUGCACAAUGGGCGCAAGCCUGAUGCAGCCAUGCCGCGUGUGUGAAGAAGGCCUUCGGGUUGUAAAGCACUUUCAGCGGGGAGGAAGGCGUUAAGGUUAAUAACCUUGGCGAUUGACGUUACCCGCAGAAGAAGCACCGGCUAACUCCGUGCCAGCAGCCGCGGUAAUACGGAGGGUGCAAGCGUUAAUCGGAAUUACUGGGCGUAAAGCGCACGCAGGCGGUCUGUCAAGUCGGAUGUGAAAUCCCCGGGCUCAACCUGGGAACUGCAUUCGAAACUGGCAGGCUAGAGUCUUGUAGAGGGGGGUAGAAUUCCAGGUGUAGCGGUGAAAUGCGUAGAGAUCUGGAGGAAUACCGGUGGCGAAGGCGGCCCCCUGGACAAAGACUGACGCUCAGGUGCGAAAGCGUGGGGAGCAAACAGGAUUAGAUACCCUGGUAGUCCACGCCGUAAACGAUGUCGAUUUGGAGGUUGUGCCCUUGAGGCGUGGCUUCCGGAGCUAACGCGUUAAAUCGACCGCCUGGGGAGUACGGCCGCAAGGUUAAAACUCAAAUGAAUUGACGGGGGCCCGCACAAGCGGUGGAGCAUGUGGUUUAAUUCGAUGCAACGCGAAGAACCUUACCUGGUCUUGACAUCCACAGAACUUUCCAGAGAUGGAUUGGUGCCUUCGGGAACUGUGAGACAGGUGCUGCAUGGCUGUCGUCAGCUCGUGUUGUGAAAUGUUGGGUUAAGUCCCGCAACGAGCGCAACCCUUAUCCUUUGUUGCCAGCGGUUAGGCCGGGAACUCAAAGGAGACUGCCAGUGAUAAACUGGAGGAAGGUGGGGAUGACGUCAAGUCAUCAUGGCCCUUACGACCAGGGCUACACACGUGCUACAAUGGCAUAUACAAAGAGAAGCGACCUCGCGAGAGCAAGCGGACCUCAUAAAGUAUGUCGUAGUCCGGAUUGGAGUCUGCAACUCGACUCCAUGAAGUCGGAAUCGCUAGUAAUCGUAGAUCAGAAUGCUACGGUGAAUACGUUCCCGGGCCUUGUACACACCGCCCGUCACACCAUGGGAGUGGGUUGCAAAAGAAGUAGGUAGCUUAACCUUCGGGAGGGCGCUUACCACUUUGUGAUUCAUGACUGGGGUGAAGUCGUAACGAGGU
Molecule: ribosomal RNA, 1483 nt
Filed under: uncultured bacterium
Lineage: Bacteria
Description: bacterial SSU rRNA
Rfam family: Bacterial small subunit ribosomal RNA
Source: RNAcentral